UACGGGAGGCAGCAGUAAGGAAUAUUGGACAAUGGAGGCAACUCUGAUCCAGCCAUGCCGCGUGAAGGAUGACGGCCCUAUGGGUUGUAAACUUCUUUUAUACGGGAAUAAACCCGUGUACGUGUACGCAUCUGACUGUACCGUAAGAAUAAGCAUCGGCUAACUCCGUGCCAGCAGCCGCGGUAAUACGGAGGAUGCAAGCGUUAUCCGGAUUCAUUGGGUUUAAAGGGUGCGUAGGCGGAUUUAUAAGUCAGCGGAGAAAUCCGGCAGCUCAACUGUAGAACUGCCAUUGAUACUGCAAGUCUUGAGUGCGGGAGAGGUAGGCGGAAUGUGGCAUGUAGCGGUGAAAUGCUUAGAUAUGACACAGAACACCGAUUGCGAAGGCAGCUCACUGGACUGUAACUGACGCUGAGGCACGAAAGCGUGGGGAUCAAACAGGAUUAGAUACCCUGGUAGUCCACGCCGUAAACGAUGAUCACUCGAUGUUGGCGAUACACAGUCAGUGUCUAAGCGAAAGCGAUAAGUAAUCCACCU
Molecule: ribosomal RNA, 534 nt
Filed under: uncultured Bacteroidota bacterium
Lineage: Bacteria; Pseudomonadati; Bacteroidota
Description: bacterial SSU rRNA
Rfam family: Bacterial small subunit ribosomal RNA
Source: RNAcentral